Pimephales promelas (fathead minnow) is the source of this 926-nucleotide long non-coding RNA. RefSeq lists it as uncharacterized. The record is from RefSeq and is a predicted model, not a curated record. Lineage: Eukaryota; Metazoa; Chordata; Actinopteri; Cypriniformes; Leuciscidae.
UAUUCAUCUGCUGUUAUCGCUUCAGUGAACCUCGCGCUGCUCGCGCGUCGCGCGCAACACAGAUCAGCUGAUCGUCGUCGGAUUUGAAAGUAACGGCUCCUCUCAUCAAAGCUUCGGCUGUUUGUUCGGCUCUCCGUUACAAGGUUUGUAAACUCGCCAAAGAAAUAUAAAUACUGAGUCUAUUCACUAUAUAUUCAAACACAUAUAAACUAAAACACGCGUUCUUACAGAGUUUACCACUCGUUUAUUGCACAUAGGCUACCUAUGUGGUAUGAAGGUUUGAGCCGCGACGCUAACUAAUCUAACGUUAAAGAAUUAAUGAAAAUCAUUGACUUAUUGUCUUAGAUUGUUUUAGUCAUUCACUUAAAUGUAUUCUGUACAACUGUGUCUUCAAAUUGCUGAUAUAACAUUAAUAGCUAAUUCCUGCUGUCGACUGUCGUCAUUUGCGUUAUGAAUAACAAGUGGAUAGGCUUUAGUUUUGUCUGUUUUUGUUUAUUUAGCUGCUAGCCUACUACAGGUGCCCUGAUUCUUUCAAAAACCAUUUUAAAGCCCUUUACUGGCCAAUAAUUAUUAUGUUGUGAAUGGAUAUAAUCAACUUUGUUCUUUUGUUUCCUCAGAAGAACCACUGCAUUUCUAAAAUCAUCUGAACAUUUCAGAGGCUACAUUGAAUUACAGGAGGAAGUUACCGGCACCACACUACAAUGUAACUGAAUGAUGACUGGGGUUGCAUUACGCCUGAGAUCUGCUUUUGGGUUCCACAGACAGAAAGUCAAACAGGCACCUCGGUAAGCUGAAAUACAAGUCUGAACAAGAAAAAUAAUCCUCCUGUAGACCUGAAAAUCAUUGAAGUGCCUGGACCAUCCACCAGUAAAGAGGAAAAACAAACGGAAAAUUGUACUGUUCUAACUCGUUAACCUCACAUGUCC